Asparagus officinalis (garden asparagus) is the source of this 535-nucleotide long non-coding RNA. RefSeq lists it as uncharacterized. The record is from RefSeq and is a predicted model, not a curated record. Lineage: Eukaryota; Viridiplantae; Streptophyta; Magnoliopsida; Asparagales; Asparagaceae. The transcript has 3 exons.
ACCCCAAAACCCAUUACCCGAGCCCCCCAUCAAAACAAAUUCCAAUCUCUUCUUCUCUCUUCUAAAAAUAACAGAAAAUUCAAAGCCUAGAUUUUUGAUCUAAAAGAGGAACUCGGUAACCCCUUGUUGUCGGUAUUUGAAGACCCAAAAAAUCUUUUUUUAUCGUGUUUAUCAAUUUGGGUUCAUUCAGCUUUUCAAGAUGGUUUACCUGUUCUAGAGGCAUGACAAUGUUUUUGAAAAAGGUCGAGAGAAAGGAGGAAUUUGUGAGGAGGUUUUUGGGUGGAGAGCUAAAAUGAGGAGACUUUGUAAGUGAUGAUUUUUUACACCGGUGAGAAGUACUGAGAAAAGUUCCUAGCUGCAUUCUUCUAUUUUUUAUUUUGAUGAUUGUUAUUUUGGUUGUCUUCAUGUACGGUUUGUUUGUGAUCUUUGUUUUGUUUAAGCUAUGUUGUGUUGAAAUAUGGUGUAUUGUGUUAUAUCAGACUAUUGGCUUUAAUUAAUGCUUUAUGUACUAGUGUUUUUACUUCGUUGUCUAAUU